GAUGAAGAACGUAGCGAAAUGCGAUACUUGGUGUGAAUUGCAGAGUCCCGUGAACCAUCGAGUCUUUGAACGCAAGUUGCGCCCGAAGCCAUUAGGCCGAGGGCACGCCUGCCUGGGCGUCACACGUCGUUGCCCCCCCAUCUACUCCUUCGGGAUUGCGGGGGGCGGAUGAUGGCCUCUCGUGCGCCUCGUCGCGCGGUUGGCCUAAAUGCCAAGUCCUCGGCGACGCACGCCACGACAAUCGGUGGUUGCGAAACCUCGGUUGCCUGUCGUGUGCGGUCGUCGCGCAUCGAGGGCUCGAAAAAAUUGCCGGGCUUCGGCUCGACUUUCAACGCGACCCCAGGUCAGGCGGGGUUACCCGCUGAAUUUAAGCAUAUCAAUAAGCGGAGGA
Molecule: unclassified non-coding RNA, 391 nt
Filed under: soil metagenome
Description: partial contains 5.8S ribosomal RNA, internal transcribed spacer 2, and large subunit ribosomal RNA
Rfam family: 5.8S ribosomal RNA (bases 1-122)
Source: RNAcentral